UGGCGGCACGCCUAACACAUGCAAGUCGAACGGAGAUUGAGAGCUUGCUCUUAAAUCUUAGUGGCGGACGGGUGAGUAACACGUGAGCAACCUGCCUCUGAGAGAGGGAUAGCUUCUGGAAACGGAUGGUAAUACCUCAUAACAUUACAUGACCGCAUGAUCGUGUAAUCAAAGAUUUAUCACUCAGAGAUGGGCUCGCGUCUGAUUAGCUAGUUGGUGAGGUAACGGCCCACCAAGGCGACGAUCAGUAGCCGGACUGAGAGGUUGAACGGCCACAUUGGGACUGAGACACGGCCCAGACUCCUACGGGAGGCAGCAGUGAGGGAUAUUGCACAAUGGAGGAAACUCUUGAUGCAGCGAUGCCGCGUGGAGGAAGAAGGUUUUCGGAUUGUAAACUCCUGUUUCGAGGGACGAUAAUGACGGUACCUCGGGAGGAAGCUCCGGCUAACUACGUGCCAGCAGCCGC
RNAcentral lists this ribosomal RNA (466 nucleotides) under uncultured bacterium. RNAcentral describes it as "bacterial SSU rRNA". It matches the Rfam family "Bacterial small subunit ribosomal RNA", at positions 37 to 518 of the family's 1533-position model. The record is from RNAcentral.